AUUGAACGCUGGCGGCAGGCCUAACACAUGCAAGUCGAGCGGUAGAGAGAAGCUUGCUUCUCUUGAGAGCGGCGGACGGGUGAGUAAUGCCUAGGAAUCUGCCUGGUAGUGGGGGAUAACGUUCGGAAACGGACGCUAAUACCGCAUACGUCCUACGGGAGAAAGCAGGGGACCUUCGGGCCUUGCGCUAUCAGCUGAGCCUAGGUCGGAUUAGCUAGUUGGUGGGGUAAUGGCUCACCAAGGCGACGAUCCGUAACUGGUCUGAGAGGAUGAUCAGUCACACUGGAACUGAGACACGGUCCAGACUCCUACGGGAGGCAGCAGUGGGGAAUAUUGGACAAUGGGCGAAAGCCUGAUCCAGCCAUGCCGCGUGUGUGAAGAAGGUCUUCGGAUUGUAAAGCACUUUAAGUUGGGAGGAAGGGUUGUAGAUUAAUACUCUGCAAUUUUGACGUUACCGACAGAAUAAGCACCGGCUAACUCUGUG
Molecule: ribosomal RNA, 484 nt
Filed under: uncultured bacterium
Lineage: Bacteria
Description: partial 16S ribosomal RNA
Rfam family: Bacterial small subunit ribosomal RNA
Source: RNAcentral